This 486-nucleotide ribosomal RNA is filed under the name Streptococcus mutans. RNAcentral describes it as "bacterial SSU rRNA". It matches the Rfam family "Bacterial small subunit ribosomal RNA", at positions 28 to 491 of the family's 1533-position model. Lineage: Bacteria; Bacillati; Bacillota; Bacilli; Lactobacillales; Streptococcaceae. The record is from RNAcentral.
GACGAACGCUGGCGGCGUGCCUAAUACAUGCAAGUGGGACGCAAGGGAACACACUGUGCUUGCACACCGUGUUUUCUUGAGUCGCGAACGGGUGAGUAACGCGUAGGUAACCUGCCUAUUAGCGGGGGAUAACUAUUGGAAACGAUAGCUAAUACCGCAUAAUAUUAAUUAUUGCAUGAUAAUUGAUUGAAAGAUGCAAGCGCAUCACUAGUAGAUGGACCUGCGUUGUAUUAGCUAGUUGGUAAGGUAAGAGCUUACCAAGGCGACGAUACAUAGCCGACCUGAGAGGGUGAUCGGCCACACUGGGACUGAGACACGGCCCAGACUCCUACGGGAGGCAGCAGUAGGGAAUCUUCGGCAAUGGACGAAAGUCUGACCGAGCAACGCCGCGUGAGUGAAGAAGGUUUUCGGAUCGUAAAGCUCUGUUGUAAGUCAAGAACGUGUGUGAGAGUGGAAAGUUCACACAGAGACGAGCUACCAGAAGGC